CAGUCAUGCAAAUGCACUCACCCAUGUCCCUGGGUGCGGAGUACCAGUGCUGUGCGAGCUGGGAAUGGGGCAGAGCAGGUGAUUCAAACAAGUCACUGCCUACUCUUCAUUUCCACUGUUCUAGAGACUUCCUCUGUGUAAUACAGCAUGGCUCUUGUGGUACCUCCUCUUCAUUUUCUACUCAGCACUACAUAGAAAUGCUGAGAAGGUUCACUGCGUAACUGUGUGUGUGAUGUGGAGAAAAGAUCAAUUUAAUAAUUUAAAAAGGCAAAGCAACAAAUACAGGAACUGCGGCUCAUGGAGGAAAGGGAGCACUGAAGACACCCACCUUUUUGUUUUAGCAAUACCUCAUAUCAAACUAUAUUUUUGUAGCUAUGCAUGCUGUGCUUAUUUUCAUGAAGAAGUCCACUGCAGUAUGCUAGAAAGAAAACAGAUUUGAAAUGGGACCGUGUGCUUGGCUUCAAUUCUUUUUUUUUUUUAAUGUUUGCAUAGGUUGGAUUUUUCACUUUUUCUUUUCAUCCUUUCUGCACUCUCUUUCUCUCCUUGUUCUAACCUUUAUUUUUUGUAUUGUAUAGACAUAGCCACACUUAUUUUUACACAGUAGCUGUGGAUCUAAUGGUGCUACUGGAAGGUGAGAAUUGAAGCAAUGAGCAGUGCGUCACUGGUAGGGUUGACCUCAUUUCUUAUUAAUUCUUUUCUUACAGUAUGAGUAAAAAAACACUUAGUCUGAAGAUGGCACACUUGUGUGCUCUUGGGAUGUAUUUGCACGUAUGAAGGCAGCUGAGGAAAUCUUGAGUUUUAGGUGCUCAUCUCCACAUUCCCACCUCAGCUCUCCAGCUCUGCAAUUUUACAAGUGGUCUGCGGAUGCGUUUUGCAUGCCAAGACUGGGAAAUAAUUUGAGAUAUAAAUACCUUUCCAGAAAAUGAUGCAUCUGAGAACUGUGGCAGAUGCACAGGGACCAGAAGAGAGAGUGGGAGUCUCUUAAAAAUGACUCCUUCUCCAAGAAAAAAUAUUUGUGGAACUGUCUUGACACACAGAAAGACACACACACACAUCUCCCUGAUAUGAUACAGUAGGAUCUGAUCCUUCAUGGAGAACCCAGUUCAUCUUCUACAAUGCUCCACAAAACAGUUCUGUAGGUGGGUCCCCAUGGGGCAGGUAGGACAGCCCCUUGCUCUGUGCUCCUGGGCUGUGGACAGUCUGGCACUGGACAGCAGCAGCAGCAGGAGGGAAGGGAAGGAAUAGGUUGGGAUGCCUAGUGGGGGCUGCCUGGGAGGGGUGCUGCCUUUCCUACCUGCUGUGCUGUGAGGCUAGGGGCCUGAUGGCAUCACAGACUCUUUUUAAAGAACUCUUUUCACAUACUCUUUUAAAAGAGAGGGUAAGGUGAUUAGCAGUAGAAUAAUUAAUGUGUUUAUCAUGGGAAAAUAAAAUCUUAGGCAAAGCCUAUCGAGAGUCAUUUUUUUUUUCAUAACAAUGUAAAACGUUUGGUUUAUAGGGACUGUACCUGUGACUUUUUUUUCCCAUAUGGACUCAUGCUUUAGAGUAUAUCCUUGAGACCUGAUCAUUCACUCUUUCCUUUAAAUUAGGACUGUAUGUUCUAAAACUAUUAAUAUCAAAAAAGAUCAAGUUAAUAUAUAUCUCGUCAGACACUGUUGAAGUGACAUAUGUGCUGUUUUGGAAGACUUGUAUACUGAGUGACAGAAAUAAAAAAGCUGAAAUGACCAGAUGACCUUUUCUAUUGUUUUUUUUUUUCUUUGAUGGGUAAAUUAUUUUUAUACUUAAUAAGUUUACCUACUUUCUAAAAUUUCUAAAAUAAUUUCUUCAAGUACAAAAUUAAGCAUUUACUUUUUUUAGGGUGACCCUGCUGAUUGUGUUAAUAUAAGAAAUUUCUAUCUCGGUUGUUGACAAAGUGGAUUUUUAAAAUACUUCUUUCUAUGAUAUCUAGAUGCUGAAUUUUGAUUGGAAAAAUAACCAGGACUCCUUGGCUCUUGUAAAAUGACAAUGAUGGUUUUGAAUACUGUGAGAUAGCAUGAUUUCAAGAGAAUGAUAAAGAAUCAUAAAUGUUCGUCACUUGAGGAAACAGUUUAGAAAAGAGUUCCUUUUGUAUGCUUGGUAUAAAAAGAUCAUUUGCUUAAACUAUUUCAACAAACUAUUGUUUGCUGGAACAAAUUUUACCAAUCAGUGGGGCUUCAAUCCCCAGAUUAUGAAAUACUUAUUUGACUUUUUUAGGUUAUAAGGAUGAAUAAGGAAGGCUUGCCCAGGGAGUUUGUGGAGUCUCCUUCUAUGGAGAUAUUCAAGACCUGUCUGGAUGCCCACCUGUACAACCAAUUAUAGUCUACCUGCUUAAGCAGUGGAGUUGGACUCAAUGAUCUCUUGAGGUUCCUUCCAACCCUUGUGAUUCUGUAACAAACUAAAACCAGCCUGACAGUAGUCUGACUUUUGACAUUUUAAUGGUUAGCUGCUUUCCUUACUCCCUGGCAAUUCUGUAUGAAUAAAGCUUUGAAACCAGAGAUCUUGGCCAGGUGUUUCAGAACUCCAGAACGUUCCUCUCCUAUUAGAGAGAGGUUGCCCUGCAGAAACAGAGCCUAAAACUCUUCUGGAGAUGUAGCUAGUCAAGAGAUGGAGGAAGACCACACACAGGAUACAUUGGGGAGUCCUCAUCCUGCUGAAGUAACCAGUUGGAAAACCUGGCAGAUGUCACGUGGGAUAAAAAACUUACAGAAAGAAUUGGCAGCAGAGUUCAGCUGCAAAGCUGGCCACAAUACAAAUUGUUAUUAACCUUGAUUAAAUAUAAGUAAUGGCUGACUUCUCAGAAAGAUUGAAAUCUAGUAGCUUUGAAUGGGUAACAGCAAGCUGCCUUGCAAUUACCAAGAAGCAAACAUUAUAUACAAGAUUUAAUGUUGUGGUCAUCUGAUUAGCAUUGCAAAUAUAAGUAAUUUAUUUGUAGCGCCUAAUUAAGUUUAAAUGUUCUUCAGGUUUUUAGGGAAUAUCCUUUCUGUUCUCUAUCUAGCAAUUUUCAGGCCUGAUGAAUAUUUGGAAGAUUAAAUUACGAUGUCAGAUAGCCACAAAGCAGGACUCUUAAUAUGGAGUUUCAUUAGUAGUCUCUCCAGAGCUUAAGCUUCUCAACAGUUUGUUAUUUGCAAAAUUAAAACCACCUCUGAGAGUAGUUUCCAGUAUCUGACAGCAGUGAGUGACUGCACAUACUGUGCAAACAUACAAAUGUAUUUAAUAGAAGUAGCUUAGGAAAAGAGAUCUCCUGUUAUUCCCAAGCAGACACUGUUAUCUAUGGCUUUGGCUUAUUUCAUUGGGUGUUAUUCUCAUCUUGUCAGAUAUGAGUAAGUCUACUAGGAAUAGUUGAUUCCAGACAGGUUCUCAAAAGAAGUGUUUUGGUAGAUUUACUGUUCUGUGUAUUGUGUACUUCACAGAUUUCAAAAGGAAGCUGCAUCUUGUUAAAUGCAAUGACUGUACCAGGUGUCUUUGAAAGUGGGAUAGCUCUGGCAAUGGGAGCAACACAGAAAUGAUAGAAAAGGCAACUAUCAAUAGGAAAAUGUUUUCCAGAAAAGUCAAAUCAUUUUUGAAGCUCUUGAAGUAAUGCAUGCUAUGUCAGUACAAAAGUUCAUGAAGCUCUUUCUGCUAAAAAUGAAUUUUGAAUAAUUUGAUAAAACAAUCAUGGGGAAGAUGCCCCCCCGUAAAAACUCCACAAAGCUGUCAAUCUGAACAGAUAUUCAGAGUCAAGAAACGACUUAAUGCACUGUGAUGUCACUGCUUGUUUCAUAUAAAUGUUUUAUAAUUUCUUCCUUUCCUUCCUUUCCUUCCUUCACAAAAGAAGAAAGCUAAAGAAAUAUUUUCAUUCCAUUCUCAACCCUAUAUUUUCUUGUAUUCGUGGGAGUGGAAUUUCAUACUAAGAUCCAAUAGAGACCAAUGCUAUUUUAUCUGGCUAUAAAAUUCUUGAGUUUGUCAGAAUUCUUAGCCUAUGCUUUUACUUCUGAUAAUUUAAAUAGGAAUAUUUAGAAAUGGGAUUCAGCUAUUCGACUUUUUAAUCAUUCAUGAACUAAGCAGUAGAUAUCAUCUUGACCAUCAUAGUUUCUCAUUAUUUUUUAUUUUCAGAGAUGUAAGCAAUGAAGUUAAAACUACAGUUAUGGGCAUUUUCUAGUAUUUGUAAUAAGAUACAGAAAUUGAUAUAGCAUUACACAGACUUAACGGUUUCAGUACUUGAAGGAUGUAAUUCAUAGUGUUCACUGGAAGCUAUCAAAAGUUUUGUCCUGGAAGCAAUACAAGAUUUUUCCUUAAAGCUGCAAGAGUAGAGUGAUUCCUUGACAAUUUUUUUUUCUGACUUCCUAUUUUCUAGAGUCAAUAAAGGAGAAAAUCAUGGGCAUUUUUAUUGGCUUGCUUAUAUUACAGAUGAUGUCACAAACACAUCAAGAUAUAUAUGGUUCAGAAAUAUUGUACCAUGUGCAGCUAAUGCAUAAUAUAAAUUUAGUCUUCUUAGUUGAAGGAACUCUUGGAAUGUCUCUAAAUUUAAAUGUGUUGACAGCAAACUAACUCAUUUGAAAAUUAAUAAUAAUUUUAUAUUCAAAUAUUUUCAUAUAGUAGUAAUGAUACUAAGUAGUCUUACACAAAAAUCUAUUUGUAUAACAGCUGCUAUUAUGUGAUUUUUUUUUAAUGUAAAUUGUGUGGAAAUUCAAAAAGCUCUAGUUCUCUUUUUGAGAGAUGCAUUAAACAGUUUCUACUAAACUUUUAGCAAUUACACAUAAUUUCAUUAUAAUCAUAUGAGCUCUUUAUACUAUUUUCACCUUUUUGAACUAGGAUAUUUCUGUAAUUUCUUACAACAGAAUUUGUAGGUGAAGAAGCAGGGGGAAGAAUUGAUCAGAAUUAAAUUUCCUUGGCUGGAUGAAUCAGAUAUCUCUCCUUGAGAGCUUAGCAAGAAGUCUCUUGUAUUCCACAGUGAGGAAAUAGCAUGGUAUGACUCCUUGGCUUUUAUGGGAGCGAGUCAUUCAGCAGAGGUUACUGAAGGAUAAGCAGAUGGAUUUCCAGUGUUUUCCAUUUCCACUUCUUUGCUUAGCUUGGACCAAUAUUAUGGCAAUUGAUUUGUACCACCUCUUUAAAAGGUGAAAUGAAUGAAGAAUGUGAAACACAGAAUUGUAGUGGCUGGAAGGGACCUCUAUAUGUAACACAUAAAUAUAUGUUCUAGUUUUCUGGAUAGAUAUAUGAAGAUAAGAAGGAGGCUUUGUUCUUGUCUUGCUGUAUAUGCCUCAACAUUUAAUCUCUAAAACUGAUUUGGUAAUCCUAAUUUCAUUUUUUAGCUGAUAAAGGCAAUUUCAGAAAUUACUUCAUCUCACCUUUUUAGACAGCUUGUUUGUGCUGGGGUGGAUUGCUCUCUGCAUGCACCAGCUUUCUAUUUAAUGCAGAGUGCUUAGGUUGCUUAGCACAGACCUGAGUGUCUAGAAUUAAAUUUCUAUGUUCAAGCAGG
RNAcentral lists this long non-coding RNA (5470 nucleotides) under Gallus gallus (chicken). Lineage: Eukaryota; Metazoa; Chordata; Aves; Galliformes; Phasianidae. The record is from RNAcentral.